GGCCAAGGUCCCAUGGCAGGC
RNAcentral lists this microRNA (21 nucleotides) under Mus musculus (house mouse). RNAcentral's name for it is "mmu-miR-7077-5p". The record is from miRBase by way of RNAcentral. Lineage: Eukaryota; Metazoa; Chordata; Mammalia; Rodentia; Muridae.